UACGGAGGGUGCAAGCGUUAUCCGGAUUCACUGGGUUUAAAGGGUGCGUAGGUGGGCAGGUAAGUCAGUGGUGAAAUCUCCGGGCUUAACCCGGAAACUGCCAUUGAUACUAUCAGUCUUGAAUACCGUGGAGGUAAGCGGAAUAUGUCAUGUAGCGGUGAAAUGCUUAGAUAUGACAUAGAACACCAAUUGCGAAGGCAGCUUACUACCCGAAAUAUUGACACUGAGGCACGAAAGCGUGGGGAUCAAACAGG
This 254-nucleotide ribosomal RNA is filed under the name uncultured bacterium. RNAcentral describes it as "partial 16S ribosomal RNA". It matches the Rfam family "Bacterial small subunit ribosomal RNA", at positions 524 to 776 of the family's 1533-position model. The record is from RNAcentral.